AUCCCAGGUGCCUGUGUCCAGGCUGGUGUCUGGGUUCUGUACCCCCUUCACCACACCAGGUGUCCUCUUCAUUCUCAGGAUGAUCACAUGAGUGCUGCUGGAGUGUCCCAUGAGGAAUGCAAAGUGCCUGAAUUUUCUGACUCUUCCCUUCAGAUGCCCCCAAGACACAUGUGACCCACCACCCCGUGUCUGACCAUGAGGCCACCCUGAGGUGCUGGACCCUGGCCUUCUACCCUGCAGAGAUCACACUGACUUGACAGCGGCGAGAUGGGGAGGACCAGACCCAGGACAUGGAGCUCGUAGAAACCAGGCCUGCAGGGGAUGGAAACUUCCAGAAGUGGGCGGUUGUGGUGGUGUCUUCUGGAGAAGAGCAGAGAUACACCUGCCAUCUGCAGACCGAGGGGCUGCCCGAGCCCCUCACCCUGAACUGGGAGCCGUCUUCCCAGCCCACCAUCCCCAUCGUGGGCAUCGUUGCUGGCCUGGCUGUCCUUGGAGCUGUGAUCACUGGAGCUGUGGUCGCUGCUGUGAUAUGGAGGAAGAAGAGCUCAGUCACACAUUUCUGGAAACUUCUCUGGGGUCCAAGACUAGAAGGUUCCUCUAGGACCUCAUGGCCCUGCCACCAUCCUGGCCUCUCACAGAAUAUUUUUUUCCCACAGAUAGAAAAUGAGGGAGCUACUCUCAGGCAGCAAGUAAGUAUGAAGGAGGCUGAUCCCUGAGAUCAUUGGGAUAUUGUGGUCAGGAGCCCGUGGGGGAGCUCACCUAGCCCGCAAUUCCUCCUUUAGCGGCAUUUCCUGUAGGCUCGGACCAGGUUCUGGUUUUGUUCUAUCCCAGGCAAUGACAGGGCUCUGAUGUGUCUCUCACAACACCUUGUAAACUGUGAGACAGCUGCCUUGUGUGGGACUGAGAGGCAAGUUUUGUUCACACCUUUUUUCUUUGUGACUUCAAGAACCCUGGCUUCUCUUACUGCAAAGGCAUCUGAAUGUGUCUGUGUCUCUAUAGGCAUAAUGUGAGGAGGUGGGGAGACCAGCCCAGCCCCGUGUCCACCAUGACCCCCUUCCCCACGCUGACCUGCAUUCCUUCCCCGUCACCUUUCCUGUUCCAGAGACUUGGGGCUGGGAUGUCUCCAUCUCUGUCUCAACUUUACGGUGCACUGAGCUGUAACUUCUUACUUUCCUAUUAAAAUUAGAAUGUGAAUGUAAUUUACUUCUUGAAAUUAUUUCCAUGAGACAUUGAUGGGUUAAUUAAAGGAAAAGAUUCCUGAAAUUUGAGAGA
Sapajus apella (tufted capuchin) is the source of this 1272-nucleotide RNA transcript. It is a transcript of the gene named patr class I histocompatibility antigen, A-126 alpha chain-like, with no coding region annotated. The transcript has 4 exons. The record is from RefSeq and is a predicted model, not a curated record. NCBI's taxonomy places the organism in Eukaryota, Metazoa, Chordata, Mammalia, Primates, Cebidae.